ACUUACCCCUCACAUACACCUUGCAGAACUCCUUGUUGUUCUUAUCAGCAAUAUCCUUAGGAAUGUUAACAAUAAAUUCCUUAACUAAACCUUCAUAGCAUGGAGAGAACCCAACAACCGUUUUCAAUAGCCCAAUAACUUUUAUCAGGUCCAUGACCUCCUUGACAUCAACAACAUCUUUUCCCAACUCCCUUUCCACACCUACCCUUCUCUGAA
Molecule: long non-coding RNA, 216 nt
Filed under: Lathyrus oleraceus (garden pea)
Lineage: Eukaryota; Viridiplantae; Streptophyta; Magnoliopsida; Fabales; Fabaceae
Description: Pisum sativum (pea) long non-coding RNA (PSAT_LNC023257)
Source: RNAcentral